Molecule: long non-coding RNA, 3806 nt
Organism: Mytilus californianus (California mussel)
Lineage: Eukaryota; Metazoa; Mollusca; Bivalvia; Mytilida; Mytilidae
Exons: 2
Source: RefSeq, a predicted model, not a curated record
AUUUUUCAUCUAUUUGUUGUGUAUGCAUUUUGAUUGAAUUUGUAGGAAAACGGAGUAAAUUUUAUCUUGGAAGUUUUAUCUUCCUUAUUUGGAUAUGCAAUGUUUUAUUCUAAAUUUAGAUCCGCGCGCGAGAUGGUGUUGUGAAGUCAUGUGACCCUCGAAUAUAUAUGUCUGGAGUUAGAAUAUUAAUUUCUUUUCAGGGGAGACUGUUGAACAGAGCACAUGUGUAUUGAUCAAAGAAACACGAUAACUAUUGUUUUUAUUUUGUACAGGUCAUUGAUGUCGGAUCAUGCAUACAUAUUAUGUACACAUGUUUACGGGAGCACAGAUUUGUAUUUUAAUGCAUGUUUAGAAAUUUGAUUGUAGGAUUUCAGUAAUACAUUGAUUUUAAUUUCGCAAUCAAGCGGACCGCACGUGUCUCAUCGAUUAAUUUCAGAAAAUACAUGAAUUGGAGCAGAUUUUUGCAGGGAUGGAUUUCUAUUUCAGAAAGAAAUUUGUACAUAAGAAGGAUUAGUAUUUUACAGUAUAAUGUAUGGGACUAAAAGCGAUCUUCUUUUCUUUGAAAUGGGAUAACUUAAAAAAAAAAUCAGUUGAAAAAAAAAGGGGGGGGGGGGUGGAGUCUAGUGGUAGACUGUGGUUCAUUAUUGAGAUAAGAAACAUUUACAACAUGAUAGCUGCAAAGUUUGAAGUUUUGAUAAGUAAUUUGUUGAUUCGACCAUAACAGGGACAUUGACCCUGCAAUAAAAUGAUGCGUACCAUUUCGACAAAAAAUUUCUAGUAAACACGUGUCGCGACAAACUUUUUGGUUAAAUUGUUUUGUCGAUAUCUAUAACUCUUUCUAGGAAGAAGCGAUAUGAACUUAAUGUAAAAAAUCACAACAUGACCUUGACCUUUGACCUUGACCUAGUUUUCUAUUCUUUAGGACCAAGGACCUCAAAUCAACAGACCCUCGGUCUCUAUCACUUAUGGUUUACCAGUUACAAAUGCAUAUCACUUAUUUCAAAUGCAUUAGGGGAAAUAACUCUCAUAUGGAGUCUUCGUAUCGCUUCCGUCAAAUUUGGACAAAAAAUCCUGAGGAUAGCGAGCCAUUUGGUAAAAUAAAUUUGUCCCUUUCUUUUACGGUUACGGAGGAGAUGCAGUCACAAGGAAAACAGUGUUCAGGGAGAUAACUCCUACAAAGAAAAUUGUUCGGCUUAGAAUGGGUGAAAAUAAAAAGCGCAUAAACUGUAUGAUACUAUAUAAGAAAUAUCUAAGCGUCAUCUUGCGAAACAAAAAUUUUACGCAAGAACAAAAUUAGGCGGAAGAAAAAAAAAAUAAUAAUAAUAAUAAUUAAAAACCAAUUGUUCAAAGAACAAUUGAAGGUCUUUCCACAUCAAUUUUCUAAAUAAUUGAUGAGAAGCUAAUUCUGGUUUACUCAAAGCUACUAUUGGCGUCCAAUCAUAGGUUUCUUCAUACUGAUUCAAUAAACAUAUGGUUUCUAUAGACUUUUGCCUGAAAUAAGGGAGAUAAUUGUCAACUUCCGGUUUAGAAAAUAACACUUCCGGUCUCAUAUGAUAGGUUUAAUUACACUGAUUCCAAAAAUAUAUGGUUUAUAUAUACUUUUGCCUGUAAAAAGGAAGAUAAUUGGCUAAUUCUGGUUUGGAAAAUGUCACUUCCGGUCUCAUAUGAUAUAUUUAUUUACACUGAUUCCAAAAAUAUAUGGUUUAUAUAUACUUUUGCCUGUAAAAAGGGAGAUAAUUGGCUACUUCCGGUUUAGAAAAUGUCACUUUCGGUCUCAUUUGAUAGCUUUAUUUACACUGAUUCCAAAAAUAUAUGGUUUAUAUAUACUUAUGCCUAUAACAAGGGAGAUAAUAUGCUACUUCCGGUUUAUAAAAUAUCACUUCCGGUCUCAAAUGAUAGAUUAAUGUAUGACCAUUCAAAAAAUAUAUGGUUUCUAUGUACUUCUACAUGAAAUAAGUGCAAAAAUGACUACUCCCGGUUCACUCAAGGUCACUUCCGAUUGACAUUUUUCAAGGUCAUAUGUCACCCAACAUUUUGCAAAAGAUCUUAUGGCUUUAUCAUGUACCAAUAUGAAGUAAUAAUCAAUUUACCUUAAAAUAAAACAUUUCAGGGGCAAUAACUCCAAUAAGAUGUCGCUGGAUUGUCUCAGACCAAAUGUAUUAUAUCUUCAUCACAAUAUAACAAACAUUUUGCACUUGUUCUUUAAUAUAUAACAUUAAAAAUAUCGGAGAAAAUGCAAAAACAAGCAAAAGACAAAAUUCAGAACAUGACCUUGACCUUUGACCUUGACCUCAUUUUCGAAGUUAGGAUCCAAGGACCUUAAAUAAAAAGACUAUAGGUUUAUACGGCUUACAGUUUAUGAGUAACAAAAACAUAACGACAAAUUUAUUUGAUAAAGGUAGAUAACUCCUAUAAAAUUUCAUCGAAUUGCUUUGAUCCAAAUUAGCCAAAAAUUCCUGAGGAUGUAACGAACAAUUUAGAAAAAGAAUUUUGUCGAUAUCUUUUUUUGUUACGAAGGAGAUGCACACACUUGAUAAACAGUGAAUAGGGAGAUAACUCUUACAAAGAUAAUUGUUCGGCUUAGCAGGGUAAAAUUUAAAAGCGCAUAAACUAUACGAUACAAUAUGAGAAAUAUCUAAGCGACAUAUUGCGAAACAAAUAUUUAUCGCAAGAACAAAAUUUGGCGGAAGAAAAAAAAAAAAAUAAUAAUAAUAAUAAUAAUAAUAAUAAUCAGAACAAAUACAAAAGGUCUUUCCACAGAAAAGUGGAAAGACCUAAUAAAUGGAGAGAAGAGGAAAGAAAAGAGGUGGGUGUUUGCCAGUGAGACAUUUUAUGAUAUAUAUGGUAAAUUAGAAUGGUUAAAAGUGCACAUUUACAAUAUAAAUCAAUUGUUUUAAAAACAAUUGUUAAACGGUCUUUCCCCUCCGAAACAUGAUUGGUUGGUUGGUUGGUUGGUUGGUUGGUCGAUUGAUUGAUUGAUUGAUUGAUUGAUUGAUUGAUUGAUUGAUUGAUUGAAAGUUUGCAUGACACUCUCUCUAUGCGAGGCAUCGGACUUGACGUUCAUAUUCUGACGAGGCUGCGUACUUGUAUAUCCCGCACUCCCAAACGGACAGCUUCAGGAUUUCCUAAUAAAUAAAAAUCCUAACAUCUUCUUUUUUUUCUUAUUUUCUCUAUUUGCUACGAGAACUGAUACUUCAUGGUUUCUUUUAUGUGUUGUGUGUACAUUUUGUUUCAACUUGUAGGAAGAAAAAAAAUGAGUAACAUUUUGUCUUGGAAGUUUCACUUUCCAUAUUUGGAUAUGGAUCUCGAAUGUUUUAUUCUAAUUUUAGGUCCGCGCGCGUGAUGAUGUUUUGAAGUCACGUGACGCUCGAAUAUAUAUGUCUGGAGUUAGAAUAUUAAUUUCUUUUCAGGGGAGACCGUUGAACAGAGCACAUGUGUACUGAUCGGACAAACAUGACCACUAUUGGUUUUAUUAUUUACAGGUCAUUGAUGACGGAUCAUGCAUGCAUCUUACGUUCACAUGUUUACGGGAGCACAGUUUUGUAUUUUAAUGCAUGAUUAAAAAAUUUGAUUGUAGGAUUUCAGCAAUAUUUACGAUUUUUCUACGUCAUUGAAUUUUAUUUCUCAAACAAGCGGACCGCGUCUAACGGGAACAUGAAUUGGAGCCGAUUUUUUGCAGGAAUGACUUUCUAUUUAAGAAGUUUGUACAUCAGAAGGAUUGCAUUUUUACAGUAAAAUGUACAGGACUGAACUUCAAGGCGAAAUGGGAUUCUUCAAAGUAGAAGAAAAAAAAAAUUUGGGGGGGG